GUGAAGACCCAGCCAUGCCUGGAGUAAAUUAAGCCAGCAGGAAAUAAUCCUAAAGGAGAUAAACAUCUAAAAGAAAGGAACGAAAACAGGUUUUAUUUAUAAACGUCUCACUGUUGGAACCUGCAUGAAUGAAAGCUGAAUCUCAAAGAUCAGACAUGUUGGACUUGGAAUAAUGUCCACGUUAUGAUUCCAAUCUGUGCUUAAAUCUGAACCACUCAGUUCUUCAUGCUUGUUGGAAUCCUUCUAAAAUUGGAAUUUCCUGGGAGAUAUCCAGUACUUUUUGGGCUGUAAACAGCAAAACAAACAGCCUUUCUUGUAAUAUGCUAUGUCUAGUGCUAACUGAAUUCAAGAAGUUUAUGGGUGUGGGGAAAGUAACUUGAUUUCUUUGCAAACUUACAAAUUUGCUUCAAUUUAAAUUUUGACCAAAAAUUCAUCUCAGGAAUAUGUUUUGGAAUAAUCCUUUGCUAUUAGUUAUAAAUAUGGCAAAUAUUGUUUAAACAAUAAAAUAUUAUUUUAUACAAUAAAUUAUGGCAACAAAUUCCUUGUAAUGAUAGAUUUUUUAAAAUCUUUAAAUCAUAGAUAAGGAUUUAUUAUGCUCCAUGUCAAUUAUAUGCAUGUUUGUGUGUAUGUGUGUGUAUAUGUGUGUGUAUAUGUAUUUCACUUAAUCUCCGAGAAGUCUGAAUUUUUAUGUUUCUCUAUUGUAUAUAAUUGAAAAACAUAAGACAAACAGAAAGAAAUCACUUAUUAGUACGUUGAUAGAUAAACGUGCUUGAUGCCAAAUAUAGACACAAAAAAUACACUUAAUUCUUCUAUAAGAACUCUUAAACAUCUAUGAGAAACAUCUUAUCAAAUUGAUUUCCCCCUUUCUCCUUAGUAAAAAAAUCCUGACAUUUUUAGGUUGACACAAUGCCUCUCAGCUAAACAAUGACAUUUCCCAGACUCCUUUCUGUUUAAGUGUGG
Molecule: long non-coding RNA, 960 nt
Filed under: Pongo abelii (Sumatran orangutan)
Lineage: Eukaryota; Metazoa; Chordata; Mammalia; Primates; Hominidae
Description: lincRNA
Source: RNAcentral